GACGAACGCUGGCGGCGUGCUUAACACAUGCAAGUCGAACGGAAAGGCCCUGCUUUUGUGGGGUGCUCGAGUGGCGAACGGGUGAGUAACACGUGAGUAACCUGCCUUUGACUUUGGGAUAACUUCAGUAAACUGGGGCUAAUACCGGAUAGGAGCUCCUGCUGCAUGGUGGGGGUUGGAAAGUUUCGGCGGUUGGGGAUGGACUCGCGGCUUAUCAGCUUGUUGGUGGGGUAGUGGCUUACCAAGGCUUUGACGGGUAGCCGGCCUGAGAGGGUGACCGGCAACAGUGGGACUGGGAUACGGCCCAGACUCCUACGGGAGGCAGCAGUGGGGAAUAUUGCACAAUGGGCGGAAGCCUGAUGCAGCAACGCCGCGUGCGGGAUGACGGCCUUCGGGUUGUAAACCGCUUUCGCCAGUAACGAAGCGUGAGUGACGGUAAUGGGUAAAGAAGCACCGGAUAACUACGUG
This 468-nucleotide ribosomal RNA is filed under the name uncultured bacterium. RNAcentral's name for it is "partial 16S ribosomal RNA". It matches the Rfam family "Bacterial small subunit ribosomal RNA", at positions 28 to 507 of the family's 1533-position model. The record is from RNAcentral.